UAAAGGCAUGGUCCCGUCCUUAUUAUCAGCUCUAACCCGACUUACACAUGCAAGUCUCCGCAGCCCUGUGAGUAUGCCCUUAAUCCCCUGCCCGGGGACGAGGAGCGGGUAUCAGGCACAAAUUUUAGCCCAAGACACCUAGCCUUGCCACACCCCCAAGGGAAUUCAGCAGUGAUAAAUAUUAAGCCAUAAGUGAAAGCUUGACUUAGUCAAGGUUAAGAGGGCCGGUAAAACUCGUGCCAGCCACCGCGGUUAAACGAGAGGCCCCAGUUGAUAGUAUAACGGCGUAAAGGGUGGUUAAGGGUGCACGAAAUAAAGCCAAAAGGCCCUUUGGCUGUCAUACGCUUCUAGGUGCCUGAAGCCCAACAUACGAAAGUCGCUUUAAAAUAGCCUGCCUGACCCCACGAAAACUGAGAAACAAACUGGGAUUAGAUACCCCACUAUGCUCAGUUGUAAACUUAGACGUCCAACUACAAUUAGACGUCCGCCCGGGUACUACGAGCAUUAGCUUAAAACCCAAAGGACCUGACGGUGCCUUAGACCCCCCUAGAGGAGCCUGUUCUAGAACCGAUAAUCCUCGUUAAACCUCACCACUUCUGGCCCCUUCCAGCCUGUAUACCGCCGUCGUCAGCUUACCCUGUGAAGGUAAUAAAAGUAAUCAAAAUGGACAUAGCCCAAGACGUCAGGUCAAGGUGUAGCGUAUGAAGUGGGAAGAAAUGGGCUACAUUUUCUAUAAUAGAACACUACGGAUCUGCAACAUGAAAUAGUGCUUGAAGGAGGAUUUAGUAGUAAAAAGGAAGCAGCGUGUCCUUUUGAACCCGGCUCUGAGGCGCGUACACACCGCCCGUCACUCUCCCCUGUCUUAAUGCAAUAUAAAUACUUAAUACCAACGCGCUGACGAGGGGAGGCAAGUCGUAACAUGGUAAGUGUACCGGAAGUGUACUUGGACUAAAU
RNAcentral lists this non-coding RNA (954 nucleotides) under Semotilus thoreauianus (Dixie chub). RNAcentral's name for it is "12S ribosomal RNA". It matches the Rfam family "Bacterial small subunit ribosomal RNA". The record is from RNAcentral. Lineage: Eukaryota; Metazoa; Chordata; Actinopteri; Cypriniformes; Leuciscidae.